CGACAUACUAAGCCUCACAUCAUGCCCCCAUCUAGCCACAACUCACCCCCACAGCCCGGACCUGAGAAGCCACGAUUGCUGCCUCAAGUCACCAAGUUAGUGCAGGGGAAAGCCACAGCACGAAAGAGACACCUGCCAAACACCGGGGUAGGAUGAAGCCCAAAUCUGCGAACCUAGAGACUGAAAGCCAUGAUCCCAACAGACACAAUAUAAUUUUAGGACUGGACUUUUUCAUGGCACUAUCACUCAAAAGCAAACACACACAUAUUCGAUACCAAUCUACCCAAAACCUACGUACAAUCCAGCACAACACAACUACAUAG
Molecule: non-coding RNA, 323 nt
Organism: Pelobates cultripes (western spadefoot toad)
Lineage: Eukaryota; Metazoa; Chordata; Amphibia; Anura; Pelobatidae
Source: the annotation of a GenBank genome assembly